This 200-nucleotide unclassified non-coding RNA is filed under the name Russula sp. RNAcentral describes it as "partial internal transcribed spacer 2". The record is from RNAcentral. Lineage: Eukaryota; Fungi; Basidiomycota; Agaricomycetes; Russulales; Russulaceae.
UUAAGUUCAGCGGGUAGUCUCACCCGAUUUGAGGUCAAGGUUUAUAAAAGCGUUUGUCUCCAUUCAAAGACGAUUGGAAGCAGGAUUCCGGGCCAACGCCAAGACGUAGAAGCGUACUUAUCACGUCGAGGAUCGGCACGACAGACCCCACUAAUUCAUUUAGGAGGAGCUGGCUUCGAACGAGGCCAGCAACGUCCAAA